AUAUAAAAGUCACAGCAUAGCUAAGGCUAGUUAAAUACUUAAAACAUAUUUGAGUUUUCAAAAACUUCACAGUAUCCCUAGGAUAUGGUCUUCAAGGAAAGGGCAGUGACCCUGUGUCUUUCUUUAGACUAUUAUUAAAAAGACAAGUUGGCAACCUGAGCUCAACUUCUUUUAUCCCAUGUAUUAAUACCGUCAAAGUCUUUUGCAAAGUCCUCUUCAAAAGAUCUUCCCUUUUUCAAGUUUUAGACCUUGAAGAGUUCCUAUUAAAAAUAACCCAUUUACAGGGACUUUAUUCUUCAUAUACAGAAAGUCUUAAAUAUAUUUUAUGUAAUGAAAUGGACUAAAUUCUCAAAGUUCCCACAAUGCUAUUCUGAGAAUCUGUCACAAUCUAUGUGAUUGGAACUCUGUUAAGACUAGCAAAUUUGAAAAUAGGUAUACAAAAUCUAACCAUCAUGUUACAGUCUCAAUUCUGCCUCAUGAGAUGACUAUUGUUAUGAAAGAACUCAGUGGUUCUUUUAAUAUAAAGAAUAUUUGUGUUGAGAAGGUAGACCUCAUAUUAACUGUUCUUACCACCCAAAACAGAGGGCACAGUGAAACUUUGGAAGGUGUUGGAUAUGUCUAUUACCUUGAUUGUGGUAAUGAGCCAGACUCAUCAAAUUGUACAUAUUACAUCAACCAUACUUUAAUAAAUCUGGUAAAAAUUUAUUUUGUACAUCAACCGUACUUUAAUAAAUCUGGUAAAAAUAAUAAUUUUGUUAUUAAAAUAUUCUUGGUAUCAUGAAUGCUGAUGCACUUGUUAUGCCUAUGACUUAAGAAUGCAGGGGG
RNAcentral lists this long non-coding RNA (825 nucleotides) under Homo sapiens (human). RNAcentral's name for it is "HSALNT0128102". The record is from RNAcentral. Lineage: Eukaryota; Metazoa; Chordata; Mammalia; Primates; Hominidae.